This 813-nucleotide long non-coding RNA is filed under the name Prunus dulcis (almond). RNAcentral's name for it is "sRNA ncRNA". The record is from RNAcentral. Lineage: Eukaryota; Viridiplantae; Streptophyta; Magnoliopsida; Rosales; Rosaceae.
GGCGCCUUACCUGUGCUUCCGUCGAGAAGGUGAAAGUCAUGCUCUUUUGUUGUUGAUGCAUCAAAUUUCUCGUUCCAAACUCCUUUGAAGUAUAAAGCAUUUGCAAAGAUGAGCUUGGUUGUGCUGUCAACUGACCCGGGAGGAAGUAUCUCCUUGAUAAGGCCACUAGUCUCCUUUUCAGCCCAUGAAUUCACUCCAUUUAGAAAAUUUUGCUUUCUGUCAGCAUGCUUCUUAUAUUAUUUCAUUAAGAAAAACCCACUAACGAACAGUUGCUUUACUAACUAAUUGAAAAGGCAAUUUUCAAAUCAAUAAACAAUCUGUGAUAAGAUUGAUUGCAUAAUGCCAUAAUGGCAUUACCAGCAUAUUAACAUGAAAACACAAGGCUAAUUACCAAAAAAUUAGUUAAAGUUUGCUGCUUGUUGUUGCAAUGAGAGUUUGAAUGAAGCAAGAAGGAUAGAGUCCCCAAGACUUGCAGCAAGAAAAGUUAGAGACUUUCAUUUCAUGGGCUUACAUUGGUCUGAAAAUCGACUUGGUAGAGAGCGGCCUUGUAAGCAGUGUCCACCACCUGCUUGAAAGAAGGCUUGAGAAGGAGAGGCCGGUUGACCCAAAUGCCAUUUGCAAAUGACAAGCCCCCGCCGCUCGGGAACCCAUCGGAGAAGAUGACGGAGAUAAACUCGGCCGCAAAGGAGUUGAGGUGAUCGGCGGACUUGGACUUGAGGAAGGAGAGCAGCUGGUCCUGGGUUGGACCCUUGGACCCAGCGGCGAUCAGGCUGAGCACCACGUGGAUGGACAGCGGGGUUUAGACCACGUUCG